This 435-nucleotide ribosomal RNA is filed under the name uncultured bacterium. RNAcentral describes it as "bacterial SSU rRNA". It matches the Rfam family "Bacterial small subunit ribosomal RNA", at positions 460 to 896 of the family's 1533-position model. The record is from RNAcentral.
GAGGGUCCGAUGAGAGUACCCGGAGAAAAAGCAUCGGCUAACUCCGUGCCAGCAGCCGCGGUAAUACGGAGGAUGCGAGCGUUAUCCGGAUUUAUUGGGUUUAAAGGGUGCGUAGGCGGGCUGUUAAGUCAGCGGUCAAAUGUCGGGGCUCAACCCCGGCCUGCCGUUGAAACUGGCGGCCUCGAGUGGGCGAGAAGUAUGCGGAAUGCGUGGUGUAGCGGUGAAAUGCAUAGAUAUCACGCAGAACUCCGAUUGCGAAGGCAGCAUACCGGCGCCCUACUGACGCUGAGGCACGAAAGCGUGGGUAUCGAACAGGAUUAGAUACCCUGGUAGUCCACGCAGUAAACGAUGAAUGCUAGCUGUCCGGUUCUACGGGACUGGGUGGCACAGCGAAAGCGUUAAGCAUUCCACCUGGGGAGUACGCCGGCAACGGUG